GAAAUUAUUGAAUUUUGUAUAGACUUGGAAAGAGCAAUCGGGACUAAAAAUGUAGUGAUGCAAGCUAUCGAAUGAGUAAAGCGGGAAACAAUAUUGGCGGAACUGGUCAGGUUCGGAUUUCGAAAUAAUUAAUCGACGUAUUAUAAUUGAUCCAUAAAGACAGGCUGCCGCAACACGAGCGGCGCACGUUUCCUCAAAGGGAAAUUCGAUAACUUCGAAUAUUUGAAGAGUGCAAAGAUGGAAGAAAGAAAUAAUUCAGGAAAUGCAUAAAUGCAGUGUGUUACGCCGACUCUACCCAC
This 299-nucleotide unclassified non-coding RNA is filed under the name Bombus terrestris (buff-tailed bumblebee). RNAcentral's name for it is "misc RNA ENSBTSG00005034233.1". The record is from RNAcentral. Lineage: Eukaryota; Metazoa; Arthropoda; Insecta; Hymenoptera; Apidae.